UACGAACCGAGCGAACGUUGUUCGGAAUCACUGGGCUUAAAGGGCGCGUAGGCGGAUUGUCAAGUCCGGGGUGAAAUCCCACAGCUCAACUGUGGAACUGCCUCGGAUACUGGGAGUCUCGAGGGUGGCAGGGGUAUGCGGAACUAUCGGUGGAGCGGUGAAAUGCGUUGAUAUCGAUAGGAACUCCGGUGGCGAAGGCGGCAUACUGGUCCACUUCUGACGCUGAGGCGCGAAAGCCAGGGGAGCAAACGGG
RNAcentral lists this ribosomal RNA (253 nucleotides) under uncultured bacterium. RNAcentral describes it as "partial 16S ribosomal RNA". It matches the Rfam family "Bacterial small subunit ribosomal RNA", at positions 524 to 776 of the family's 1533-position model. The record is from RNAcentral.